CCUAAAGUGGUGUAGUGGUAACACGCCAAGGUGACUGCUAUUCGGGGGCGGAGGAGUCCCAGGUUCGAUUCCUGGCUUUGGGG
This is a non-coding RNA of Xylariales sp. No.14919, 83 nucleotides long. NCBI's taxonomy places the organism in Eukaryota, Fungi, Ascomycota, Sordariomycetes, Xylariales. The record is from the annotation of a GenBank genome assembly.